AAAAUAUUCAAAACUUUCAACAACGGAUCUCUUGGUUCUCGCAACGAUUAAGAACGCAGCGAAUUGCGAUAAGUAUUGUGAAUUGCAGAUUUUCGUGAAUCAUCGAAUCUUUGAACGCACAUUGCGCCCUCUGGUAUUCCGGAGGGCAUGCCUGUUUGAGCGUCAUUU
This 168-nucleotide ribosomal RNA is filed under the name Wickerhamomyces quercuum. RNAcentral's name for it is "[Candida] quercuum 5.8S ribosomal RNA". It matches the Rfam family "5.8S ribosomal RNA". Rfam says of the family: 5.8S ribosomal RNA (5.8S rRNA) is a component of the large subunit of the eukaryotic ribosome. The record is from RNAcentral. Lineage: Eukaryota; Fungi; Ascomycota; Saccharomycetes; Phaffomycetales; Wickerhamomycetaceae.